GACGAACGCUGGCGGCGUGCUUAACACAUGCAAGUCGAACGGAAAGGCCCUGCUUUUGUGGGGUGCUCGAGUGGCGAACGGGUGAGUAACACGUGAGUAACCUGCCCUUGACUUUGGGAUAACUUCAGGAAACUGGGGCUAAUACCGGAUAGGAGCUCCUGCUGCAUGGUGGGGGUUGGAAAGUUUCGGCGGUUGGGGAUGGACUCGCGGCUUAUCAGCUUGUUGGUGGGGUAGUGGCUUACCAAGGCUUUGACGGGUAGCCGGCCUGAGAGGGUGACCGGCCACAUUGGGACUGAGAUACGGACCAGACGCCUACGGGAGGCAGCAGUGGGGAGUAUUGCACAAUGGGCGGAAGCCUGAUGCAGCAACGCCGCGUGCGGGAUGACGGCCUUCGGGUUGUAAACCGCUUUCGCCUGUGACGAAGCGUGAGUGACGGUAAUGGGUAAAGAAGCACCGGCUAACUACGUG
This 468-nucleotide ribosomal RNA is filed under the name uncultured bacterium. RNAcentral's name for it is "partial 16S ribosomal RNA". It matches the Rfam family "Bacterial small subunit ribosomal RNA", at positions 28 to 507 of the family's 1533-position model. The record is from RNAcentral.